Molecule: transfer RNA, 76 nt
Filed under: Burkholderiales bacterium
Lineage: Bacteria; Pseudomonadati; Pseudomonadota; Betaproteobacteria; Burkholderiales
Description: tRNA-Lys
Rfam family: tRNA
About the family: Transfer RNA (tRNA) molecules are approximately 80 nucleotides in length. Their secondary structure includes four short double-helical elements and three loops (D, anti-codon, and T loops).
Source: RNAcentral
GCUUGGAUAGCUCAAUUGGCAGAGCAAUCAAUCUUUAAUUGAUGAGUCGCGGGUUCGAAUCCCGUUCCAAACGCCA